UACGUAGGGAGCAAGCGUUGUCCGGAAUUACUGGGCGUAAAGGGUGCGUAGGCGGCGAUGCAAGUCAGAUGUGAAAUCCCCGGGCUUAACCCGGGUUCUGCAUUUGAAACUACAUUGCUUGAGUGCAGGAGAGGAAAGCGGAAUUCCUAGUGUAGCGGUGAAAUGCGUAGAUAUUAGGAAGAACACCAGUGGCGAAGGCGGCUUUCUGGACUGUAACUGACGCUGAGGCACGAAAGCGUGGGGAGCAAACAGG
This 253-nucleotide ribosomal RNA is filed under the name uncultured bacterium. RNAcentral describes it as "partial 16S ribosomal RNA". It matches the Rfam family "Bacterial small subunit ribosomal RNA", at positions 524 to 776 of the family's 1533-position model. The record is from RNAcentral.